Molecule: ribosomal RNA, 431 nt
Filed under: uncultured bacterium
Lineage: Bacteria
Description: bacterial SSU rRNA
Rfam family: Bacterial small subunit ribosomal RNA
Source: RNAcentral
AACGAACGCUGGCGGCAGGCCUAACACAUGCAAGUCGAACGCCCCGCAAGGGGAGUGGCAGACGGGUGAGUAACACGUGGGAACCUUCCCAACAGUACGGAAUAGCCCAGGGAAACUUGGAGUAAUACCGUAUAUUCCCGAGAGGGGAAAGAUUUAUCGCUGUUGGAUGGGCCCGCGUCGGAUUAGCUAGUUGGUGAGGUAACGGCUCACCAAGGCGACGAUCCGUAGCUGGUUUGAGAGAAUGACCAGCCACACUGGGACUGAGACACGGCCCAGACUCCUACGGGAGGCAGCAGUGGGGAAUCUUGGACAAUGGGCGCAAGCCUGAUCCAGCCAUGCCGCGUGAGUGACGAAGGCCUUAGGGUUGUAAAGCUCUUUUACCGGGGACGAUAAUGACGGUACCCGGAGAAUAAGUCCCGGCUAACUUCGUG